AGAAUUGAGGCGUCGGCCUCUCCAGAUAGCAAGAGAUGGUGCUGUCAAGACAGUGUAAGCCCAGGAGCCCAGGUGGCUGGGCUGUGUCUGCACAGCCUUUGGAUAAGGCCUCAGAAAGAUCAUAGCCUCAGCAUUCUGCCCCACCAAGGGUGCCUUAGAGAGGUCAGGGCUGAGCCUCAUGGAUCGAACCAGGGAGCCCCUGAGGAGCCGAAGGGCGUUGACUCCGAGUCACCUCGGCAGGACUCAAAGAUAGAAAAGGCUUGCCUCAAAAACAUCGGCAGGUGAGGCCUUCGGCUCAUGGAGUAGACCCAGGUGAAAUCCAUGAGAGACAAAGAUUUUGAGGAAAUCACUUUCACAGAAACACUGCCAGCCUGGGUGGGAAGGAACAGAGAGAGCACAGGAUGAAAGGAGGCUGCCAGACUCCCCAGAUUUUGCUGGCUGGAAGUAGGCUAAAAAGCUCCUCAGCUGCAAACAUGGGCAACCUUUCCUUCCAAACAAGUGCAGUGUAGAUGCGGGGACCAAGAGCCCAGACAGGGAAUCCAGAAGCCAGGAGAAUUCUCCCCAGCCCUGGAAACCUGACUGAGAACUCCCAACCUUUACUUUUCUGGAUUUGGAAUUGCUACACAGUCAAGAUGCCUUUUAUCUGCCAUUUCCUCCCCUUGAAAACUGAAAUGUCUACAGCUGCAUCUGGUGCCUGCUCCACCACGGGACAGGUCACUAAUCUCUUUAGCUUCCCGGGCCCAUCCAUGGAGAGGAAUUGUGUCCCAGAACCUGAACCGAAUGAUUGCACCAUGACCCUCCACUGACCUUUGACCUGAUUUAGAUGUUGACAUUUCAGGCUUUGAGCUGAUGCCAUGAAGCUCCGAAAAUCUUAGGUACCUAGAGCAGGUGAAUGACUUUUGCACAUGCGAGGGAGGCAGGGGGGCGUGUGGCAGACUCCCAGGUGCCUCCAGGUGUAACUGCCUUUUAUGUAGUCAUCUCCCCUGAGUCACAGAGAAGGACUGGUGACUGACUUCUAACCAACGGCUACAGCAAAGGUGAUGGGAUGUCACUCUGGGGAUGACUCACAUCACACAGGACUGUCUUUUGGGGAGACUCGCUGUCUCCCUCACUGGCUCUGAAGAAGCCAGCAGCUGCCACAGAUCCUACAACUGAAAGGAGCUGAGUGUUACCAAACACAUGCGAGCAGGGGCAUGCACGCUCCCCCAGUCAGACUCCGCAUGAGAACCCACCCUGGACAUAACCUGGCGACCGCCUUGUGAGACCCCAGCAGGAGAGCCGGCAAGUCUGUCGCUGGACUCCCGACUCACGGAUUCGUUGAGAUAAUAGUGGUUCUUGACUUUCACUUACCUCUCAGUGAACUGUGAGCCCUGCAGAAAUAUUGAAGUGUAAAGUCAUGGGUCCUGGGGAGAAGAGAGAAGUGGAGAAGAAUGGAACUUCUUUUAAGGUUGAGGGUCUGGUACUACACAUUCCGGGAAGUCAAUGCAAGCAGUUCUCACUCUGGAAAAUGCGAAAACCUCCCAAGGUUUCAACAUGUUGGUUUAGAACUAAACCAACCAAAAAUGUUGGUUUAGAACUAAAAAUAUUGGCUCAAAACCAAAAAAGUUUGUUUAGAAUUAAAAAUAAUGG
This 1629-nucleotide long non-coding RNA is filed under the name Homo sapiens (human). RNAcentral's name for it is "non-protein coding lnc-PRR18-4:1". Lineage: Eukaryota; Metazoa; Chordata; Mammalia; Primates; Hominidae. The record is from RNAcentral.